AACGAACGCUGGCGGCGUGCUUAACACAUGCAAGUCGAACGAGAACGGGUUAUAGCUUGCUAUAAUUGUCAGCUAAGUGGCGCACGGGUGAGUAAUGUAUAGGUAAUAUGCCUCUUACUAAGGGAUAACAAAUGGAAACGUUUGCUAAUACCUUAUACUCCUUAUUAACAGAAGUUAAUAAGGGAAAGAUUUAUUGGUAAGAGAUUAGCCUGUAUUGUAUCAGUUAGUUGGUGGGGUAAUGGCUUACCAAGACUAUGAAACAUAACUGGUUUGAGAGGAUGAUCAGUCACACUGGAACUGAGACACGGUCCAGACUCCUACGGGAGGCAGCAGUGGGGAAUAUUGCACAAUGGACGAAAGUCUGAUGCAGCAACGCCGCGUGGAGGAUGACACAUUUCGGUGCGUAAACUCCUUUUAUAUGAGAAGAUAAUGACGGUAUUAUAUGAAUAAGCACCGGCUAACUCCGUGCCAGCCGCCGCCGUAA
This 484-nucleotide ribosomal RNA is filed under the name uncultured bacterium. RNAcentral's name for it is "partial 16S ribosomal RNA". It matches the Rfam family "Bacterial small subunit ribosomal RNA", at positions 29 to 523 of the family's 1533-position model. The record is from RNAcentral.